UACGAAGGGGGCUAGCGUUGCUCGGAAUCACUGGGCGUAAAGGGUGCGUAGGCGGAUCUUUAAGUCAGGGGUGAAAUCCUGGAGCUCAACUCCAGAACUGCCUUUGAUACUGGGGAUCUUGAGUUCGGGAGAGGUGAGUGGAACUGCGAGUGUAGAGGUGAAAUUCGUAGAUAUUCGCAAGAACACCAGUGGCGAAGGCGGCUCACUGGCCCGAUACUGACGCUGAGGCGCGAAAGCGUGGGGAGCAAACAGG
This 253-nucleotide ribosomal RNA is filed under the name uncultured bacterium. Its description in RNAcentral is "partial 16S ribosomal RNA". It matches the Rfam family "Bacterial small subunit ribosomal RNA", at positions 524 to 776 of the family's 1533-position model. The record is from RNAcentral.